This is a long non-coding RNA of Gossypium arboreum, 425 nucleotides long. RefSeq lists it as uncharacterized. The record is from RefSeq and is a predicted model, not a curated record. The transcript has 2 exons. NCBI's taxonomy places the organism in Eukaryota, Viridiplantae, Streptophyta, Magnoliopsida, Malvales, Malvaceae.
UACUGUGAGGUAAAUCGAUUAAUGUUUUUGGUAAGCUGCAAAAUUUGGACUGCAAAGUGCAUGAUUUCUGUGCCCUCGAUAUUUUUGGGCUUAAUAGGCCAAAAUUGGAAUGAUGGGCCAACGGGCCCAAUUCGGAAAUCCCCAACCAUAGUGGGCUUGGAGCUGUGAGGGAAUUCGGAGUGGCCACCCGUUCUGAAAGUUUGAUUUUCUUCUGGUGAGCUGGACAUACUUUUAUUUACGUUUGAAGUUUUGAGUUUUUAAAUGUAAUAAGGCCGCUUAAUUAUUUUUGAUGGUUUUAAUAUGUAUUACUAAGAUAGGUAUUACUUAUUUUAACUGUUGAAAUUGGAUAGCUUUAGGGCGCGUUUUCAAAAACAACAAUUGAUUUCAAAAUAACACGACAAUAAGCAAAGCUUCCGCAAUGAAAA